AUCAUACGCACCACUGAUGUCUACAAUUUCCCUGCUGUUGCUUUGUUUAGUGGCAUCACCUACUGGGGAUCCCUCGUUAACAUCAGUGCUGGCUCUCUGACUGUUGCUGCUCAGAAUAAACUUCAUUUGUGUGUGGUGAAAGCUUCUCUUGUAAUGAAUGUGCUCAGUUCCAUAACUGCAGGACUUGCCAUUCUUCUGAUAGGCAUGGAGUUAGGCCUUGGCUCAGAGACCAGCAAGUAUCGAAGUUGCUUCUAUAUGGCUAUGUUCGUACUGAAGACCAAAUGUGUUCAGUUUUUUGAGAGAUAUGAUCUGGGAAUCCUUGGAAUAUUGCUGGUGUUCUCCAUCCUUCAGUUCAUCAUCGCCAUCUUUAUCUCAGCAUUUGCCUGCA
This is a long non-coding RNA of Cyprinus carpio (common carp), 388 nucleotides long. RefSeq lists it as uncharacterized. NCBI's taxonomy places the organism in Eukaryota, Metazoa, Chordata, Actinopteri, Cypriniformes, Cyprinidae. The record is from RefSeq and is a predicted model, not a curated record. The transcript has 4 exons.